GACGAACGCUGGCGGCGUGCCUAAUACAUGCAAGUCGAACGCACUCUCGUUUAGAUUGAAGGAGCUUGCUCCUGAUUGAUAAACAUUUGAGUGAGUGGCGGACGGGUGAGUAACACGUGGGUAACCUGCCCUAAAGUGGGGGAUAACAUUUGGAAACAGAUGCUAAUACCGCAUAAAACCUAACACCGCAUGGUGUAGGGUUGAAAGAUGGUUUCGGCUAUCACUUUAGGAUGGACCCGCGGUGCAUUAGUUAGUUGGUGAGGUAAAGGCUCACCAAGACCGUGAUGCAUAGCCGACCUGAGAGGGUAAUCGGCCACACUGGGACUGAGACACGGCCCAGACUCCUACGGGAGGCAGCAGUAGGGAAUCUUCCACAAUGGACGAAAGUCUGAUGGAGCAACGCCGCGUGAGUGAAGAAGGUUUUCGGAUCGUAAAACUCUGUUGUUGGAGAGAAUGUAUCUGAUAGUAACUGAUCAGGUAGUG
RNAcentral lists this ribosomal RNA (483 nucleotides) under uncultured bacterium. RNAcentral's name for it is "bacterial SSU rRNA". It matches the Rfam family "Bacterial small subunit ribosomal RNA", at positions 28 to 492 of the family's 1533-position model. The record is from RNAcentral.